GAUGAACGCUGGCGGCGUGCCUAAUACAUGCAAGUCGAGCGAACAGAUAAGGAGCUUGCUCCUUUGAAGUUAGCGGCGGACGGGUGAGUAACACGUGGGUAACCUACCUAUAAGACUGGGAUAACUUCGGGAAACCGGAGCUAAUACCGGAUAACAUUUAGAACCGCAUGGUUCUAAAGUGAAAGAUGGUUUUGCUAACACUUAUACAUGGCCCCGCGCCGUAUUAGCUAGUUGGUAAGGUAACGGCUUACCAAGGCGACGAUACGUAGCCGACCUGAGAGGGUGAUCGGCCACACUGGAACUGAGACACGGUCCAGACUCCUACGGGAGGCAGCAGUAGGGAAUCUUCCGCAAUGGGCGAAAGCCUGACGGAGCAACGCCGCGUGAGUGAUGAAGGGUUUCGGCUCGUAAAACUCUGUUAUUAGGGAAGAACAAAUGUGUAAGUAACUGUGCACAUCUCGACGGUACCUAAUCAGAAAGCCACGGCUAACUACGUGCCAGCCGCCGCCGUAA
RNAcentral lists this ribosomal RNA (513 nucleotides) under uncultured bacterium. RNAcentral describes it as "partial 16S ribosomal RNA". It matches the Rfam family "Bacterial small subunit ribosomal RNA", at positions 28 to 523 of the family's 1533-position model. The record is from RNAcentral.